AUCUGUUCACAAGCCAGCUUCAAGCCAGUGCAUCUCCACUGAUUUCAACCCGGAAGUGAUUUAUAAGGAUUAAUAGGUAUCAUCAUCCCCAUUUUACAAAUUGGGAACCUGAGGCACAGAGCGAUUAAGUAACUUGCCCAAGCCCAUCCAGAGAAUUGAGAGCAGAACUGGGAACAGAACUAUCUUCCAUCUCCUGAUAAGUAGCAGUUGCUACAUAAAGACAUUUCAGAAGGAUUUCUUGCAAAAUUAAGUUGACAUGGGACCUGGAUCAAGGACAUAACAUCUCACACUGAAAGGAUGGCACCACUACCAGGCCUGAAGCAAGGCCCAUGCAAGACAAAGGGAGUCUUUCCAUGGACGUCAAUGGCUUUGGAUCAGUCGUCCCUCAGUGCAGUCUGUUACCAGCAGCGCACUGCUGUGUCCACAAUGGGUAAGAGAGGCUGGCCUGGGACUUGAUCCCAGAGCCCCAUGGACAGAUCCCAACUGUUCGCAUUUCACACUGAAAUCCUGCGUGACUGGGGGGAGCAUCAGGGGACUGCUCUUGUUUGAAAGGCAGUUUUUACCUGCAGGCCGACACUGCCUGGAAUCCCUGGAGGACCUGGAGGGCCUGCGUCUCCCUGGGCAUAGAAAACCAGAAAGUUAGACAAGAUGCAGUGAUAAAUCUCACCCUGGAUCCUGAUAACCUUCUUCCCAAGAAUCUUCUCCAUGCUAACCCUCCCCACCAAUUAUUUCCCCAGACCCUCCCUCACCAAAACUAUGGCCUCAUGUUCUGCCUCUAUGCAAUUUCUUCCAGCCACAAAUAGUGUUUCUGUCAAUUGGUCAGAUAGUGAAGGCAACUAACUAACCAACUUGUGUGAUCAAUGCAGCGUUUGCAUGAGCUGCAAAACCAGGCACAGCAAAACUGCAGAUGCCAGCUUAGAGUCCAUGCUUGAAAUUUGUGAUCAUAAAAAUGAUUCAUUUUUUUUAGCUAAAAUAUUCUCUCUCACACAUGAAAUGAUGGAGGCUAAUGAUCUUCAGUCCACAUGCCAAGUACAAUCAAAUAACGAGCUUUCCCUUGCUGUCUAAUCAAUUGUCUCAUUCUGCCCUGGCAUCAUUCUGAGAGAAAUCCCUUGGUCUUAAGGCUAAAAAAAAAAAAUCUAAUUUUUUUCUUUAAACAGAGUUUUACCUUCUCACCAUCUUUUCCUGUUUCCCCAGGUUCUCCUUUGUGGCCUGUAUGCCCCUAAAAAUAAAAUCAAGAAUGAGC
Gopherus flavomarginatus (Mexican gopher tortoise) is the source of this 1243-nucleotide long non-coding RNA. RefSeq lists it as uncharacterized. The record is from RefSeq and is a predicted model, not a curated record. The transcript has 3 exons. Lineage: Eukaryota; Metazoa; Chordata; Testudines; Testudinidae.